AGGUUGCUGGUCUGCCUGUCCCAAGCCAGGCACUCAUCCCACCUGGAGCACCCUGCCAGCCACAAUUUAUCUGACUUUGGGUUUGACUGUGGAAUUACUCCCCAGAAAUAUUCUUUUGCAGGAUCCUUAUGAAGGCAUGUUCAAUUUGUAAGGAAAAUUGACUGAGUGGAUUUUUUCCUAAAGAUAAAGCAGCUUACAAGCUGUAUCUUUAGCACCUGGAAGAUUACCUGACACAUAAAUUGAAUGACUGUAAACAGGAGAGUACUUGUUAUUUAGCCAUCCAUCCAUCCAUCCAUCCAUCCAUCCAUCCAUCCAUCCAUCCAUCCAUC
Molecule: non-coding RNA, 329 nt
Organism: Miniopterus natalensis
Lineage: Eukaryota; Metazoa; Chordata; Mammalia; Chiroptera; Miniopteridae
Source: RefSeq, a predicted model, not a curated record